GUGUCAGCAGCCGCGGUAAUACGAAGGGGGCUAGCGUUGCUCGGAAUGACUGGGCGUAAAGGGCGCGUAGGCGGUUUGGACAGUCAGGCGUGAAAUUCCUGGGCUUAACCUGGGGGCUGCGCUUGAUACAUCCGGACUUGAGUGAGGAAGAGGGUCGUGGAAUUCCCAGUGUAGAGGUGAAAUUCGUAGAUAUUGGGAAGAACACCGGUGGCGAAGGCGGCGACCUGGUCCUUGACUGACGCUGAGGCGCGAAAGCGUGGGGAGCAAACAGGAUUAGAAACCCUGGUAGUCC
This 292-nucleotide ribosomal RNA is filed under the name uncultured bacterium. RNAcentral's name for it is "partial 16S ribosomal RNA". It matches the Rfam family "Bacterial small subunit ribosomal RNA", at positions 505 to 796 of the family's 1533-position model. The record is from RNAcentral.